UGGGGAAUUUUGGACAAUGGGCGAAAGCCUGAUCCAGCAAUGCCGCGUGUGUGAAGAAGGCCUUCGGGUUGUAAAGCACUUUUGUCCGGAAAGAAAUCCUUGGCUCUAAUACAGUCGGGGGAUGACGGUACCGGAAGAAUAAGCACCGGCUAACUACGUGCCAGCAGCCGCGGUAAUACGUAGGGUGCAAGCGUUAAUCGGAGUUACUGGGCGUAAAGCGUGCGCAGGCGGUUUGCUAAGACCGAUGUGAAAUCCCCGGGCUCAACCUGGGAACUGCAUUGGUGACUGGCAGGCUAGAGUAUGGCAGAGGGGGGUAGAAUUCCACGUGUAGCAGUGAAAUGCGUAGAGAUGUGGAGGAAUACCGAUGGCGAAGGCAGCCACCUGGGCCAAUACUGACGCUCAUGCACGAAAGCGUGGGGAGCAAACAGGAUUAGAUACCCUGGUAGUCCACGCCCUAAACGAUGUCAACUAGUUGUUGGGGAUUCAUUUCCUUAGUAACGUAGCUAACGCGUGAAGUUGACCGCCUGGGGAGUACGGUCGCAAGAUUAAAACUCAAAGGAAUUGACGGGGUC
This 572-nucleotide ribosomal RNA is filed under the name uncultured bacterium. Its description in RNAcentral is "partial 16S ribosomal RNA". It matches the Rfam family "Bacterial small subunit ribosomal RNA", at positions 355 to 920 of the family's 1533-position model. The record is from RNAcentral.